RNAcentral lists this ribosomal RNA (1327 nucleotides) under Mycolicibacterium gilvum. Its description in RNAcentral is "bacterial SSU rRNA". It matches the Rfam family "Bacterial small subunit ribosomal RNA", at positions 85 to 1424 of the family's 1533-position model. Lineage: Bacteria; Bacillati; Actinomycetota; Actinomycetes; Mycobacteriales; Mycobacteriaceae. The record is from RNAcentral.
GGGUACUCGAGUGGCGAACGGGUGAGUAACACGUGGGUGAUCUGCCCUGCACUUUGGGAUAAGCCUGGGAAACUGGGUCUAAUACCGAAUAGGACCGCAUGCUUCAUGGUGUGUGGUGGAAAGCUUUUGCGGUGUGGGAUGGGCCCGCGGCCUAUCAGCUUGUUGGUGAGGUAAUGGCUUACCAAGGCGACGACGGGUAGCCGGCCUGAGAGGGUGACCGGCCACACUGGGACUGAGAUACGGCCCAGACUCCUACGGGAGGCAGCAGUGGGGAAUAUUGCACAAUGGGCGCAAGCCUGAUGCAGCGACGCCGCGUGAGGGAUGACGGCCUUCGGGUUGUAAACCUCUUUCGCCAGGGACGAAGCGCAAGUGACGGUACCUGGAGAAGAAGGACCGGCCAACUACGUGCCAGCAGCCGCGGUAAUACGUAGGGUCCGAGCGUUGUCCGGAAUUACUGGGCGUAAAGAGCUCGUAGGUGGUUUGUCGCGUUGUUCGUGAAAACUCACAGCUUAACUGUGGGCGUGCGGGCGAUACGGGCAGACUUGAGUACUGCAGGGGAGACUGGAAUUCCUGGUGUAGCGGUGGAAUGCGCAGAUAUCAGGAGGAACACCGGUGGCGAAGGCGGGUCUCUGGGCAGUAACUGACGCUGAGGAGCGAAAGCGUGGGGAGCGAACAGGAUUAGAUACCCUGGUAGUCCACGCCGUAAACGGUGGGUACUAGGUGUGGGUUUCCUUCCUUGGGAUCCGUGCCGUAGCUAACGCAUUAAGUACCCCGCCUGGGGAGUACGGCCGCAAGGCUAAAACUCAAAGAAAUUGACGGGGGCCCGCACAAGCGGCGGAGCAUGUGGAUUAAUUCGAUGCAACGCGAAGAACCUUACCUGGGUUUGACAUGCACAGGACGCCGGCAGAGAUGUCGGUUCCCUUGUGGCCUGUGUGCAGGUGGUGCAUGGCUGUCGUCAGCUCGUGUCGUGAGAUGUUGGGUUAAGUCCCGCAACGAGCGCAACCCUUGUCUCAUGUUGCCAGCACGUUAUGGUGGGGACUCGUGAGAGACUGCCGGGGUCAACUCGGAGGAAGGUGGGGAUGACGUCAAGUCAUCAUGCCCCUUAUGUCCAGGGCUUCACACAUGCUACAAUGGCCGGUACAAAGGGCUGCGAUGCCGUGAGGUGGAGCGAAUCCUUUCAAAGCCGGUCUCAGUUCGGAUCGGGGUCUGCAACUCGACCCCGUGAAGUCGGAGUCGCUAGUAAUCGCAGAUCAGCAACGCUGCGGUGAAUACGUUCCCGGGCCUUGUACACACCGCCCGUCACGUCAUGAAAGUCGGUAACACCCGA